RNAcentral lists this long non-coding RNA (467 nucleotides) under Elaeis guineensis (African oil palm). Its description in RNAcentral is "long non-coding RNA (EGUI_LNC007548)". Lineage: Eukaryota; Viridiplantae; Streptophyta; Magnoliopsida; Arecales; Arecaceae. The record is from RNAcentral.
UUGUGGAUCCACACAUGAGUACUAGAUCCACAAACACUGUUUCUUAAAAAUAAGGAUAAAUCAUUGACAAAAAGCAGGUCUAAUUUCUGGAGUGCAUAUGGUUGUAAUGUUCACUAUAAUUCUUUAGAGAAUAUUCUCUUUUAUCGUUCUUUAUAAUCCACAUCCUGUCAAAACCCUUCACUCAAUCUCCUUUUUGAUUCCCUUAGGCAUCUGAGAUUGAAGAACUUAAGCAGAAAGUUUCCAAACUUGUGGUAGCUAAAACCCAACUAGAAACCCAAAAUCAGAAGCUGGCAGAGAGGAGAGUGCAUGUAACAGCCCAGUCACUUGGGCCUGUAGCUCAGACGGCCCAACAACAAAAAAAAUAUAUAUAUAGAGGAGGAGGAAGACUCCUAGCCGGAGUCUUCUUCCUUCCCGUUUUCGAUGAAAUCGGACUCAAAGAGUCCGGCUAGGGUAGGAAACCUCCACUA